RNAcentral lists this ribosomal RNA (527 nucleotides) under uncultured bacterium. RNAcentral describes it as "bacterial SSU rRNA". It matches the Rfam family "Bacterial small subunit ribosomal RNA", at positions 8 to 526 of the family's 1533-position model. The record is from RNAcentral.
AGAGUUUGAUCAUGGCUCAGAUUGAACGCUGGCGGCAGGCCUAACACAUGCAAGUCGAACGGUAACACAGAGAGCUUGCUCUUGGGUGACGAGUGGCGGACGGGUGAGUAAUGUCUGGGAAACUGCCCGAUGGAGGGGGAUAACUACUGGAAACGGUAGCUAAUACCGCAUAAUCUCUCAGGAGCAAAGCAGGGGAACUUCGGUCCUUGCGCUAUCGGAUGAACCCAUAUGGGAUUAGCUAGUAGGUGGGGUAAUGGCUCACCUAGGCGACGAUCCCUAGCUGGUCUGAGAGGAUGACCAGCCACACUGGGACUGAGACACGGUCCAGACUCCUACGGGAGGCAGCAGUGGGGAAUAUUGCACAAUGGGCGCAAGCCUGAUGCAGCCAUGCCGCGUGUAUGAAGAAGGCCUUCGGGUUGUAAAGUACUUUCAGCGAGGAGGAAGGCGUUGUGGUUAAUAACCGCAACGAUUGACGUUACUCGCAGAAGAAGCACCGGCUAACUCCGUGCCAGCAGCCGCGGUAAUUC